RNAcentral lists this long non-coding RNA (350 nucleotides) under Sus scrofa (pig). RNAcentral's name for it is "lncRNA (ENSSSCG00065047549.1)". The record is from RNAcentral. Lineage: Eukaryota; Metazoa; Chordata; Mammalia; Artiodactyla; Suidae.
CACUGUCGGUCUGACAUUGGAGCUGUUCUGUCAACUGUGGAUUCUGCUGCCUGCAGUUUCCGAGUAGGCCUGGGGCUACAGCUAGGUGGCAGCAGGAUUGAGCUCAGCGGCUUUUCCGUUGAAGUGCAUGGCAGCUUCCAAGUUUUCCACUUUGCUCAACUCAGUGUUAUAGUUUUGAAGCAUUCUACCUGGCUCAGUCCUUUCUUGGAAGGUACAUUAGUGGUUACAUUGUUUGAAAAUGUUGGAAUCUUGCUGACAAAAUAAUAUAAACAUCAGUAACUAUUUGAGUGCCUGGAAAGUUCUCCGAAGAAGGGUAACUUUGAUGUCCUGAUUUGUCUAUAAUAUUCUUG